CCUACGGGAGUCAGCAGUGAGGAAUAUUGGUCAAUGGGCGGAAGCCUGAACCAGCCAAGUCGCGUGAGGGAAUAAGGCCCUACGGGUCGUAAACCUCUUUUGCCGGGGAGCAAGGGCUUGGACGUGUCCCGUCCCGGAGAGUACCCGGAGACAAAGCAUCGGCUACCUCCGUGCCAGCAGCCGCGGUAAUACGGAGGAUGCGCGCGUUCUCCGGAUUUAUUGGGUUUAAGGGGUGCGUAGGCGGGCUUUUAAGUCAGCGGUAAAAAUUCGGGGCUCAACCCCGUCCGGCCGUUGAAACUGGGGGCCUUGAGUGGGCGAGAAGAAGGCGGAAUGCGUGGUGUAGCGGUGAAAUGCAUAGAUAUCACGCAGAACCCCGAUUGCGAAGGCAGCCUUCCGGCGCCCUACUGACGCUGAGGCACGAAAGUGCGGGGAUCGAACAGGAUUAGAUACCCUUGUAGUC
This 460-nucleotide ribosomal RNA is filed under the name uncultured bacterium. Its description in RNAcentral is "partial 16S ribosomal RNA". It matches the Rfam family "Bacterial small subunit ribosomal RNA", at positions 338 to 795 of the family's 1533-position model. The record is from RNAcentral.